ACGCCAGUUUUUUUUAUGAAAUUUAUUUUUAUUUAAAUUGAUGGUCGGGAACAUAUACCACGCCAAUUUAUUUGUCAUGAAACUUGAAUUUUUAAUUGGAUAUACUAGAUUGCCGCCAAAAUAUGGAAAUGCUAAAAAGACAUUUCCUACUGGUUAUCUCUUUUCUCUUCCGUGCAGUUAUAACUUAUAAAUGGUCGUAUUUUUCUACUCCCUCCGUCCAACAAAAGUCUCCUGAGAUGUUCAGAAGCUCCAGAAUAAUUUUCUUUUGAUGGAUGUUGAGGCCAUCCGUAAUAUUCCAAUAAGCACAGUUAGCUAUGGAGACUACUGGGCGUGGCAUUUCGAAAAAAUGGGAUGCUUG
RNAcentral lists this long non-coding RNA (358 nucleotides) under Brachypodium distachyon (stiff brome). RNAcentral's name for it is "long non-coding RNA (BDIS_LNC002698)". Lineage: Eukaryota; Viridiplantae; Streptophyta; Magnoliopsida; Poales; Poaceae. The record is from RNAcentral.